Long non-coding RNA from Zophobas morio, 250 nucleotides. RefSeq lists it as uncharacterized. The transcript has 3 exons. The record is from RefSeq and is a predicted model, not a curated record. Lineage: Eukaryota; Metazoa; Arthropoda; Insecta; Coleoptera; Tenebrionidae.
GAGAUAAAUAACGAGAAUAAAGAAUCUAAAGUUUUGUGUUCCUCCACAAAAUAUGUUAAAAUUUUAUCCGUCCAAUGUAAAGUUUGUGGUAAACUUGUGAAACGGACUUCAUUAGUUGCUCAUGAACGCACUCAUACAAACGAGUGCCCAUUUUUGUGCCAUUUUUGUCCCAAAUUCCGGCAAGCGAGCGCCUUGACGGCUCAUCUUCGCAUUCAUUCUGAGGAGAAACCGUAUACAUGCAACUUUUGUA